AGCAAUUUUCAAUCACAACCCGUUCAUCCUUUUUGCAUCACAAACUCGUUGGAUGGGAAUUCGUACAGUCUCACUGAACUCAACGCCGCCGGAGUUCUUCGUCGUCAGCCACAAACAAUCUGAAGUUCUAAUCAAAGGCAAGUGGAGAUCUAAACUGGAAAUUCUAAAUAAAAGAAAAGAACCAUAUUUUUAAGGAAUUACUUCCCUUUUGCUAUGGUGAUUCUCUUUUUCUUCAAGGUUCCAACUCGCCCCAUUCCUUGCUCUUUACCCUUUAUUUACACUCCAGUCUCGAUAUGGAGAUUUAAUCAAAUACAAGUGGAGAUCUAAAUCUAGAAAGCUUAAAUAAAAAAGCUACUAUAAACUAGUUACUUUUAGGAAUUACCACACUACUGGUGUGGUGUUUAUCUUCUUCUAUUAAGGGUAAAUUUUAAGUAAUAUUAGUUUCUAUUCCACCUUCAUUGUUGCUGCACUAUACUGGAACAAUAUCAGCUUGCUGUUGGUUUACAGAAACUUCCUCUAUACUUUCUUGAAAUUACUGCAACGCUUUGAGGUUCAAAGGCUCUCAUCAAUGUUGAAAACGAUGUUUCUCGAUUGGUACUUUAAGAUUGGGGUUGCGUCAGCUUUGGUUGGAGCUUCUAUGGAAUUUUUCAUGGUCAAAACAGGCUUCUGUAUGACAAAGUAACUGUUUUGGAGUCAGAAAAGCGCGCCUUGGAGAAUUCUCCAGAAGCUCAAGCAAUUAGAGAAGCUCUCAACCCUUGGAGACAUGUUGAUACAAAAGAAACAAACAAGCCCUGACGCGAGUAUGAACCAUUUUAUUAAAAUCCAUGAAUGAUUCGUCAAGAAUUUUACAGAGAAUACGCUGGAAGUUGAUUGCAUAUGGACUGCUUUUCUGUUAUACUUAUGAUUCAUGUGGUGGAAUUGAUGGAGCCCUUCCAUUGCGGCAUCUUGUUAACCAACCUGCAAUUCAUGGGCAAAUCUACCAUGUAUCACACACACAACCUUCUAUUUAUUUUUGCUACUAUAUGGCUUUGAAUCUUGGGGAAAUUUAAUUAUUUUGUUAGUAUGAUACAAGGUGAAUGUCGCAAUAUUCCCAAUAAAUAAAACAAUUCCAAACAGUUCUAAAAUUGUUUUGCCACCUGGCAUUUAUCUCUGUUAUGCAAGUAUUCUAACUGUACUCUAACAUAGCCACUCUUCUAUAAUUUCAUUUGGCUUUUAAUCUCGUGGUCCAUGGUUGUCAUCAUCAUCACCAUACACCAUAUAUUUUAUAACCUUCAUGACCAUGGCUGUCUUUGUAGAUUCCAGCUGAAACAUGGUUUACAUAUCACAUUACUUGGCAAUAGCAACAUGGUUGGAUAAAGAGUAGAAAAAAAAGAAAAAGAUGGCAAAUCAUUACCAUUUACUACUCCACCAGUAGUCACCUGGUAUCAACUGGGUGCUUCUCUCCAGAUUUGAGUUGGGAUCCCAAACGCUGAGAAGAAAAUAAAAUAAAAAUAGUAAUGUCUCUUCUGGGGAACAAAUAUUCUAAAGAUUCAGUCUAGGAGUAAAAGAAAGAGGAUUUGGAGCUCAUUCAUGCCUAAAAUACGAAGAUUGGGAACAAAAAUAUGUUUCCCCAAGGUCAGAGACUUGGCACGGCCCGUGCCACCAGCCACACGGCCGUGCCAACCUUCAGGAUCCACUUUUGCUGCUUUUUGCUUCCCAGACAAGUUAGCUAUUAGUUUAUUUCUGAUCUAAAAGCCCGUAGUUUCUUGUCGAACAUUCUAGUGUUAUUCUUGUGGAACAUUCUAGUGUUAUAUUUCUUAGGGCUUAAGUCAUUGUAGACUAUAAAUAGAGUAGCUAGCUAUCACAACGAUUCAUCUUUUGUUCUUGGAAUUAAAUAGUGACAAUUGUCUUCUUUAAUAAAAGUUCUUUCUUUUA
Medicago truncatula (barrel medic) is the source of this 1914-nucleotide long non-coding RNA. RefSeq lists it as uncharacterized. The record is from RefSeq and is a predicted model, not a curated record. The transcript has 8 exons. Lineage: Eukaryota; Viridiplantae; Streptophyta; Magnoliopsida; Fabales; Fabaceae.